RNAcentral lists this unclassified non-coding RNA (311 nucleotides) under Hevea brasiliensis (rubber tree). Lineage: Eukaryota; Viridiplantae; Streptophyta; Magnoliopsida; Malpighiales; Euphorbiaceae. The record is from RNAcentral.
GUCUUGUUCAACAAGUGGUUGGUUCAACCUCUGAAAAGGAAGAAUAAUUACGAAAUAGGAGAGAGCUACUGUUUAAUAAUAUUAACCAUCAAUAAUUCUGUGCUACCUUGGAACUGGAACUUGUUGAACUCUCUGCUACAUGCAAAUUCUAAUUGACUUCCAAAUUUGAAUAGAGAAAAUUUUCUGGCCUGGGCUGCAGAAAACAGUUGGCAUAGUUUACCUACUAAAAUUGGUUCGCAUAGCUGAGAAACUAAAGUCCCAACAUUGAAUGUGGACAACCUAUAUCUCGUUGCUGCCUGGAGAUUGUGUGU